This is a non-coding RNA of Microcebus murinus (gray mouse lemur), 3326 nucleotides long. The record is from the annotation of a RefSeq genome assembly. Lineage: Eukaryota; Metazoa; Chordata; Mammalia; Primates; Cheirogaleidae.
AUGCAAUGUGGACGUGGCUUCAGUGUUGGCAGCUAUGUUAUAACUUGGCACCAGGAGAACCCAGGGAGCCCGCCCCAGUACCUCCUAAGCUACUACUCAGACUCAGAUAAGCACCAGGGCUCCGGGGGCCCCAGCCGCUUCUCUGGCUCCAAAGACGCCUCGGCCAACGCAGGGAUUCUGCACGUCUCUGGGCUGCAGCCUGAGGACGAGGCUGACUGUCACUGUCUGAUCGAACACAGCAGCGAAUCUCACGGUUACCCAACCCCGCACUGCAGUGUCCCCAUCGUGGCCUGGGCUCCUCUGCUCCUCGCCCUCCUCGCCCUCCUCACAGGGUCCCUGUCCCAGCCCGUGCUGACCCAGCCGCCCUCUGCAUCUGCCUCCCGGGGAGCCUCGGCCAAGCUCACCUGCACCCUGAGCAGCGGCUACAGUGGUUAUUCUGUAGACUGGUACCAGCAGAGCCCAGGGAAGGGCCCCCGGUUCGUGAUGCGAGCGGGCAGCAGUGGUAUUGUGGGAUCCAAGGGGGAUGGGAUCCCUGAGCGCUUCUCAGUCUCAGGUUCAGGCCUGGAUCGGUACCUGACCAUUCAGAACAUCCAGGAAGAGGACGAGGCUGACUACCACUGUGGGGCAAACCAUGGCAGUGGGAGCAGCUUCGUGUAAUCCACAGUGACACAGGCAGGGGGGAAGUGAGACAGAAACCUCCACUUGAUCUGCCCUGGCCCCACCUGUCUCUAUUGGCCUGACUCACGGUUCAGAGGGGGGUGUCCUAACCCUGCCUUGAGAGCUUUCAUCUUCCUAUGUAUUUGGGGAUUCUAAUUCCCAGCCAGUUGUUCCCCUGUGGGCACAUAACUCCUCAGGAGUUUGGGGAACAUUUAUAAGUUGUACAUGGACAUCUGAGGUUGUUGCUACUUGCCCAGCCCCUGAUGGAAUUUUAGUUUCCAGGUUGUAGAGCUAUCCGCAGGUGCAGUCAUAGCACGAUUACCAUCCCCAACUCCUGCUACCUUUGUCUGUAUUCAACCUUUGUGACCUGCCCACACAGUGAUGGGCACUGAAGAUCUCCCUGGGGACACAAGGCCUUCACCCUGACCCAUAGUCACGUGUGCACACGUGAUCCACCUGGACUUCACCCAGCUCCCAUCACCUCCACGUGCACGGAGCUCUCGUGAUGCACGUGCCUGGCCGUGUUAGAGGCAGAGAGAGAAAAAGAGCUGGCACACACAGGAGGAUGGGAGAAUCUGAACCUGCUCUGCGCCUGAGGCUUUGGGAGAGACCCCUACUGCUCUCCACAGCGUGGAUCGGUUCACUUGCACGGAGAAAGCUCGGGUGAGAAUCACUCUGCAAUGCUUUUCUGAUGCUAAGUAUCUCAAUUGAGGUAAAUUUCACAGGUUAAGGGCACACCCCUAUACAUGACUGCUCCUGCUGCAGACACCAGCUACAGCAAGUGCCGGGUUUCCAGGCAUUAAGCCUCAGGACCCCUGAAGACACUGAAGAUGGCCCGUGACCAGCAGAGAGCGCUGUGGACCAUCCAGGCUCACAGCUGCCUGGGCCCGCCUGCGGAGCUGCCCCCUGUGCUCACUGCUGGCGCUCUGAGGCCUGGCGCUGUCGGGCCUGACGGAGGCUCCUGGGCAGGGUCCUGUGCAUGCUCCCAACAGCUGCUCGCUCCACAACCCUCCUGGGCUCACGCGCAGAGCAGGCCCCUGCGUCAGCCUCCUCUGUCCUCAGGUCCUCUCUCAGGCUCCUGAAUCAGUGGCCAGGUGGGAUCUGAGGGAUCCCAGAAGGGUGGGAGUGAGGUGGCAUGAGCAGCCCCUUCUUUGCCUGGGGGCACCAGGAGGGUAAGAGAAGCCUGGGCAGCCCAGCCUCACUGUGGGGCCUCGAGGAGGGCCGGUGCCCACCAUGGCCUGGGCUCCUCUCAUACCCGAGUCUUGCUCUAGCUGUAUGGAGACAAGGAACAGAUCUCCCUUUCUUACUAGUCCCCCAAUGCAAACAGAAUCACUUCCUCCCCAGAAGCACAAGUAGCCCUCAAGGUUGCUGGGUGCGAUGAGGAAGACAGCAGAAGUCCCAUGUGUGUGGCCCACUUACUGCCCCCGACAUGCCCCUGCCCCUGGCCCCUUUAUUGGUCAUUCCCUGAACUCUGAAACUUGAGGGAGGUCGACCUUCUCUCCCUCUAGAUCUUGCACACUCGAGGAGCUCCGAACUUCCGGUGCGGGGCGGCCGCUCCGUGUUAAGGGCGUGGCUCUCAGACCCAUCCUGGGUCCGCUUCCUCCAAGUUAGGCUGAGGAGUUCUCAUGUUUUCCCUCGAUUGCAUUGGCUGAUGUGAUGUUGCACAAAUACAUUUUUCACAGAUGUGAACAUUAUAAACCCUUUUCCCAUGAAGCUCUAACAAAUACACUUGUGCGGGACCCAAAGCAGGUAAACUACGGGGCCUCGAGGGUGUUUUCCUGUGGCAGAAGAGGCGCUCCUGUAAGGAAGGGGAGUUCGGCUUAUAGACAUGUUCUUUUUAUAUAAAUCCUCAUACUUAAAAAAUUACAUACGAACUAACUAAACUGGAAAUAUUUUAAAUAUAUCACAGUCAAAAAAUGAGGAACUUCUGGACUAGCAUUCAAGGGCAAAUGAGGACACAGAGAAAAAACAGCAGAAGACGAUUUUCCCUGACGGCAUUAUAUGAUUUUGGCAAAGGCAGACACCAGACUUGGCCUGUGCCAAGGGGGCUGGGAACCCUAACAGGUGACACUUGCAACAACAGCACAAUGAUUCAACCUGUACAAGUCACCCCUGUGUAAUUAUUACCAGGUGAAAAACACCUGGGAACUUGAAGCCUUGAACUUCAAGAUGAGGCCCCACUGGGCUAGGACGGUGGACCAGUAUGUCUCACGUCUUUAUGAGACGGGAGACACAGGGAGAAUGCCCCGUGCGGAUGUGGGCAGAGACUGAGCUUAUGCGGAGACGAGCCAAGGGACACCAAACACUGCUGGCAAACCACCCUCGCCAGGAAAAGGCAAGAAAGGAUCCCCCUAGAGGUUUCAGAGGGAACAUGGCCCUGCCCUGUGCAUUUUGGACUACUAGCCUCCAGAACUAUAAAAUAGUAAAUUUCUGUUGUCUUAAGCCACCCAGUGGGUGAUACAUUGUUAUGGCAGCCCUAGGAAACUAUUGCACCAAGCAAUCAAAAUAACUACAUUUCUGAAAUUGGAUAUAUUUCUUUCACCUUGGUCCUCAGCUUUCCAUAAUUAUUAUCAGAUUUGUGUUCAUAUUUCUACAUUUAUACACUGUUAUUCUGGUGCUAUUUAAGGUUAAUAAAGAAAUUAUCCUUGCUGUGAGCUAGGCUGAUGCCA